Molecule: long non-coding RNA, 4659 nt
Organism: Nyctereutes procyonoides (raccoon dog)
Lineage: Eukaryota; Metazoa; Chordata; Mammalia; Carnivora; Canidae
Exons: 5
Source: RefSeq, a predicted model, not a curated record
GGUUCUGGUAAGUCUGGGUGCCACAUAGAAUGGCAUGUGGUGCCUCUAGACUUCUUCAUGGAAGAUUUCUUCUUCAGAGAUCUGAGAAAAUCUUGGUCUGACAGCAGACGGAACCUUAAAUGCCUACCUGUAGCCCCCUAACAACUGGACAACAACUGAUUUUGUUUAUUUAUUCAUAAGAGACACAGACAGAGGCAGAGACACAGGCAGAGGGAGAAGGAGGCUCCAAGCAGGGAGCCUGAUGCGGAACUCGAUCUCAGGACCCCGGGGUCACAACCUGAGCCCAAGGCAGAUGCUCAACCACUGAGCAACCCAGGGGGUAGGACCAAGGCUGGGAAGACAGCAGAUGGCUACAGUGGGCCAAAUCAGUGUUACAGAUGAUUUGUUGCUGUGGAUCGGAAAAAACGUUUUCCUCUCCCUAACACAAUUCUGCUGGUAACAACUCACAGAUACGUGCUCAAUGACCAAAGAAGAGCCCACACGCGGAGAGCCGGGGACCGGCUAUCAGCUUGCUAAGGGGAUUCAACAAAUAUUCAUUGAGUUAACAUCAAAACUCCCAAAGCUAUUAUUUUGUGAAGAUAAUUAGAUGUUCGAACUAUAAGAUGAAGAGCUGAAGAAAAGUAUUAAAAUGACUAAGCAAAAGUACAGGAGGCCUGGUUCCUGUACUGGACAUUUAAAUUGAUUUCCUUAUCUAUAGUAAAUAUGAAGAGGUCUGUGAGCCAUGUGAUUUUUUUUUCCUUAUUGAAAUUUAUCUCUUGCCUAACUCAGUUGACUUUGCCCAGCAAUACAUGCAGUUCAUUUGGCCCAGGGGAACUUGAUGAAGAGGAAAUGUGAAAAUGCCUAGCAAGAUCACGAUGGUUCUUUUAGAGUCUACUUAAAUGAAUGAAAUUAUGAGUAUUGCUAUCACUUAAGAAAAAUGUGCUUAGCAACAAAGUAUUGAAAAGGAAAUUGGAGUUACUGGAAGGUUGAUAAAGAUGAAUAAAUCUGAAAUCAUUUAUCUUGACCUUCAGUACUAUCAAUUUCUAAAAGCAAAACAAACAAAACAAAAAGUAUGAAACUCUGUAAAUUGAGUCUCUAUGUAGCUACCAUAUCUGCCGUGACUGGUUUCCUUAGUUGUCUCAUAAGAAAAUGACAACUAGACUAUUUAAUCCUAAAAAGUGUGAAUCAUCAGCCUCAGGAGAGCCACCUUAGGAAAACAAGGUGAGUCGUCCUCCCUUCCCUCCUCACUCUUUCCUUCCUCUUCUUUUCCCUAAGGCAGUUUAGGGACUAUUCAAAACAUUUUCCAUAACAUUGACCAUGUACACAAUCAAGAGAUCUAAUGGCAGAGUUGUUAGAUCAUUUAAGAGUAGUAGAGAGAAUAUUUUUAGAGAGGGGAGCAUUUCAGUAUCCAUAACACCCCUCAAAUUAUACAUUGUACAUAUACAUCUACUCCAGUUGCCCACAGGGCCAGCCUUAGUAGAAUAUACUCACUUUCUAGGUUUAAAUAGAAUUUUCUUGAUUUUCCAAUUUAAUAUAGAGUGAGUCAGUACAGGUGAAUUUUAAUUAGAUUCAACAAAAUGAUACGAUCCAUACAUUUAAUGUUGGCUUGUUAAGAUGGUCCUCAUAAUUGAGGUGGGGAUUGUUACUGACUGUAAGAUAGUGCAUAUUCACUACGGAGAUUCAAAAAGAGCAAUUCAGUUCAUUUUCAGGUAUUUCUUAGCUAAAAAAAUUGGUAAGACCAUCGUUGUUAGAAGCAUUUUAUUUAAUGGGAUAAAAGGCAGACCUUGAGACUAAUGUCAUAGUGUCAGUACAUUUCAUUAAUAAGGUUUUCCAAAUCGCAACUGUAAUUUGGGCUACUUUUGAGGGUGUGGCAACAUUAUAUAAGGGAAGUUCUUUAUCCCAAAGGGAAAAAUCAAAUUAUAGUUUAAAAAUUCAUUACCAAUAAUUAAUAAUGAACUCUAGCUAAACAAUAACAGGUGUUCUACUAAUCCCAAACAGAAACAGAUGGAAGCACAAAUGUUUUAUAAAUACUGGAUACACGCAGAGCAAUAAACUUGGCAGGAAUUGUUUUAUUCUCUAAUUGUCAGUCAGAGUCAGAGUCUUAUCACUUGCAUUUUCUCUAAAUUAAUGUACCCAGAUAAAAUCUUGUUUCUCAUUCCUUAUUUUUCAAAACACAGGCCAUAUUUAGUGCUCUCUGUACUGUGUCACCAACAAAAGUAAUAUAAAUUUUCCUUCUGUGCACUUAUGAAGGUUCAUAGAAUUUGUUACAUGAAACAACAGGCAUACCAUAUAGGUUUUUUUUCCCUUCUCCAACUUCUUCCUUUCCAUCCCCUGAAAGACUAAAAUACAGAAUUUCCCCCAAAAUACUGAUCUACAUAUUCCUGUAUUUCUUAGACAUUAUAGCAAUAAGCAUUCAAAAUAAUGAAUGUAGGUAGAUGAAAUAAAUUAGGAAGGUGGUUAGAAAGGUAACAACUGCUAGUACGAAAUAUAAUCCCAUAGCACUUGGUAAUGAUUUCCAGGAGUUAGAAUAUCAGAUAGUGCUACAGAUCUAAACUCAUGCCUAUUUAGAAAAUGUUCACAUGGGACAUUAGAAGAGUUUUCCUGUAUGGUUAAUAACAGAAUUCUCCUUAACUCAGGCAGAGAUGGUUUCACUGUUCCUUCUGAUCCUCAUUUGUUGUUGAAUUUUUGGAAAGAAAUGAUUAGCUUGUGACUGUUAAACUCUUAGCAUCUCUCAUUGACUUUGACAAUGUAUGGUUCCCUUUGUCCUGUGAUUUUCCUAGAAACUGCAUUCUACGAUCAAUUAGUAGCUCUAUGAAUAAUUUGGGGAGCACAAUGAACACAUUAUUUUCCUCAAGCAAAGGCAUUUAAAAACUUGUGCUCAUUAGUAUUUUUUUAAAUUUUUAUUUAUUUAUGAUAGUCACAGAGGGAGAGAGAGAGGCAGAGACACAGGCGGAGGGAGAAGCAGGCUCCAUGCACCGGGAGCCCGACGUGGGAUUCGAUCCCGGGUCUCCAGGAUCGCGCCCUGGGCCAAAGGCAGGCGCCAAACCGCUGCGCCACCCAGGGAUCCCUCAUUAGUAUUAUAGAUUCAUGUGCAUUACAAGGAAAUAGUUGAUCUUUUCGAAGGAAAAUAUGUGUAGAAUAUAACUUUUUAAAACCAUCACAGUUAAAUAAACUUGUCAGCAAAUCUGUUACCUAAAAUUGACUUAAUGUUGUAGAGAGAGCGAGAGUCAGUAAUGUUAAGUUUCUUUCAUGUGGGGUACUCACGCAGACAGGCUGUGCUAAAUUGAACGAUUUAAAGAAUAAAGUUAGAAUAAUAGUAUUUUAUGUAUCUAUUUAUAUGCUUGGUCAACAAAUUAGCAAGGUCGUGACUCUGACCUCAAUGUAAGGACACUGAAGACGAGGUGGGGUUCAAUGAUUUGCUUAUGGUACAAUACUAGAAAAGAAUGGGGUCUAGCAUUGCACCUGUAUUUACGUCCAAAGCCCUCUUUUUUCACUAUAUUAUUAAAUUAGUUUCCUGCAUGUUUCCAUUUAAUUUUACUAUGCUUUUAUACACAUAUGUUAACAAUCAUUUUUCCCAAAUGAGUCAUCAUCCAACUGAGUCACCAUACUUUUCAAUGAUUUCCAUUUCAGUUUCUAACUCAUAAGAAAGUAAACAAAAAAAAAAAAAAAAAAGAGUAAAAGGAUUUAAAAACUGAGGAAGAGGAGGGAGUGGAAAUUCACUUGAAUAAAUUAUGAGAAUUAACUCAAUUUUCCUGAGAGCCAAAAUUCUCAUGUUCUUCAAAUUUUCUAGGAGUAAAUGUGUUAUAUACUUAUUUUAAAUAUGAUGAUGCCAAUUUGCCAAUACAUGCAUAAAUGUAGUCAUAAAGUUUGAAGAAAUUUCCAUGAAAAUAGUUUAGAGCCAAAAUAUAAUUUGCUUUAAACAAUGAGCUUCAAUUAUUCUAAUGUUAAUUAUCUCCUUCCUUAACAAUACCAUCUUCUUAGAAUUGUUCCUCCAAAUAUAACAUAGUUCUUAUCAGUCUUUAAAUCUGCAAAAGACCAAGUAUAAGCAAUGGAGUCAUUCAUUCUUAGUUAAGAUAUUAGUAAAGAAUCCCUUGUUACACUCUAGGCAACAAUUAAAAAAAGAUAGGAGAGAUGAGAGAUAAAUUGCUUUCAGUAAAAAUACUUCCCCACUGUGUUAACUAUUAACUCCCAGGUUGACUAUUUCCAUCAAUAGUAGAUCCCUGGUGUGGCUAAUCUUGGUUCAUGUGAGAAAAAAAAUUUUUUUGAAACAAAUUAAAUAUUUGAAUUCUGAUGGAUUUAAUAUGAAUAUUUUUCACUACUGAAAAAAAAAAGGGAUACUUUUAUUGUCGGCGGCCUUAUAAGUUUACUCGAAAUAAAAUAAGAUGAUUCACCUCUUUGCUCCAAGAUAUUAUUAAAGAUAUUAGCAUUUUUUUGUAGAUGAAGAUAUUAGCAUAUUUUUUUUUAGCUUUCAGCCAACUUCAUUUGCAAUAGGCCAUGCGGUAAAAUUAAAGGCCCUAAUGCCAGUUAUUACUUCUGCUUUUUUACUGGCUUUAUUCUAGAUCUACACAUGCAUUAUGCAAUUUUUUUAAAUGAAAAUACAGUUUAGUGCACACACACACAAAAAAAACCAACUGUCUCAGAGACAAAGACUAUUAGAACAGACAAGCACAAAAAUUUUUU